Molecule: unclassified non-coding RNA, 524 nt
Filed under: uncultured Glomeromycotina
Lineage: Eukaryota; Fungi; Glomeromycota
Description: bacterial SSU rRNA
Rfam family: Eukaryotic small subunit ribosomal RNA
Source: RNAcentral
CGCAGCCGCGGUAAUUCCAGCUCCAAUAGCGUAUAUUAAAGUUGUUGCAGUUAAAAAGCUCGUAGUUGAACCUUAGGCCCGUGCGGGUGGUCCGUCCUCUGGGCGAGCACUGCGUCGUCGCGGGUCUCACCUUCUGGCGAGCGUGGAUGCCAUUCACUUGGUGUCCGCGGGAACCAGGACCUUUACCUUGAAAAAAUUAGAGUGCUCAAAGCGGGCUCGUACGCUUGAAUACAUUAGCAUGGAAUAAUGAAAUAGGACGACGGUUCUAUUUUGUUGGUUUCCGGGACAGUCGUAAUGAUUAAUAGGGAUAGUUGGGGGCAUUCGUAUUCAAUUGUCAGAGGUGAAAUUCUUGGAUUUAUUGAAGACGAACUACUGCGAAAGCAUUUGCCAAGGAUGUUUUCAUUAAUCAAGAACGAAAGUUGGGGGAUCGAAGACGAUCAGAUACCGUCGUAGUCUCAACCAUAAACUAUGCCGACUGGGAAUCGGGCGAUGUUAUUUUUUUGUGACUCGCUCGGCGCCCCGAG